AGGGCUUGACAUGCGGGUUGAAGCCGUGGAAACACGGCGCCCUUCGGGGCCCGCACAGGUGGUGCAUGGCUGUCGUCAGCUCGUGCCGUGAGGUGUUGCCUUAAGUGGCGCAACGAGCGCAACCCCUGUUCCUAGUUGCCAGCGGGUAAUGCCGGGAACUCUAGGGAGACUGCCGGUGCCAAACCGGAGGAAGGUGGGGAUGACGUGUCCUUGAUAGG
This 218-nucleotide unclassified non-coding RNA is filed under the name uncultured Actinomycetes bacterium. Its description in RNAcentral is "uncultured actinobacterium contains 16S-23S intergenic spacer region". It matches the Rfam family "Bacterial small subunit ribosomal RNA", at positions 977 to 1197 of the family's 1533-position model. Lineage: Bacteria; Bacillati; Actinomycetota; Actinomycetes. The record is from RNAcentral.